This 1006-nucleotide ribosomal RNA is filed under the name Latilactobacillus sakei. RNAcentral's name for it is "bacterial SSU rRNA". It matches the Rfam family "Bacterial small subunit ribosomal RNA", at positions 455 to 1461 of the family's 1533-position model. The record is from RNAcentral. Lineage: Bacteria; Bacillati; Bacillota; Bacilli; Lactobacillales; Lactobacillaceae.
UAACUGAUCAGGUAGUGACGGUAUCCACCAGAAAGCCACGGCUAACUACGUGCCAGCAGCCGCGGUAAUACGUAGGUGGCAAGCGUUGUCCGGAUUUAUUGGGCGUAAAGCGAGCGCAGGCGGUUUCUUAAGUCUGAUGUGAAAGCCUUCGGCUCAACCGAAGAAGUGCAUCGGAAACUGGGAAACUUGAGUGCAGAAGAGGACAGUGGAACUCCAUGUGUAGCGGUGAAAUGCGUAGAUAUAUGGAAGAACACCAGUGGCGAAGGCGGCUGUCUGGUCUGUAACUGACGCUGAGGCUCGAAAGCAUGGGUAGCAAACAGGAUUAGAUACCCUGGUAGUCCAUGCCGUAAACGAUGAGUGCUAGGUGUUGGAGGGUUUCCGCCCUUCAGUGCCGCAGCUAACGCAUUAAGCACUCCGCCUGGGGAGUACGACCGCAAGGUUGAAACUCAAAGGAAUUGACGGGGGCCCGCACAAGCGGUGGAGCAUGUGGUUUAAUUCGAAGCAACGCGAAGAACCUUACCAGGUCUUGACAUCCUUUGACCACUCUAGAGAUAGAGCUUUCCCUUCGGGGACAAAGUGACAGGUGGUGCAUGGUUGUCGUCAGCUCGUGUCGUGAGAUGUUGGGUUAAGUCCCGCAACGAGCGCAACCCUUAUUACUAGUUGCCAGCAUUUAGUUGGGCACUCUAGUGAGACUGCCGGUGACAAACCGGAGGAAGGUGGGGACGACGUCAAAUCAUCAUGCCCCUUAUGACCUGGGCUACACACGUGCUACAAUGGAUGGUACAACGAGUUGCGAGACCGCGAGGUUUAGCUAAUCUCUUAAAACCAUUCUCAGUUCGGAUUGUAGGCUGCAACUCGCCUACAUGAAGCCGGAAUCGCUAGUAAUCGCGGAUCAGCAUGCCGCGGUGAAUACGUUCCCGGGCCUUGUACACACCGCCCGUCACACCAUGAGAGUUUGUAACACCCAAAGCCGGUGAGGUAACCCUUCGGGAGCCAGCCGUCUAAG